UACGUAGGGGGCAAGCGUUGUCCGGAUUUAUUGGGCGUAAAGGGCGCGUAGGCGGCCUGGCAAGUGACGGGUGAAAGCCCUCGGCUCAACCGAGGAACUGCCUGUCAUACUGCCGGGCUUGAGUCCGGGAGAGGUGAGUGGAAUUCCCAGUGUAGCGGUGAAAUGCGUAGAUAUUGGGAGGAACACCAGUGGCGAAGGCGGCUCACUGGACCGGAACUGACGCUGAGGCGCGAAAGCGUGGGGAGCAAACAGG
RNAcentral lists this ribosomal RNA (253 nucleotides) under uncultured bacterium. RNAcentral describes it as "partial 16S ribosomal RNA". It matches the Rfam family "Bacterial small subunit ribosomal RNA", at positions 524 to 776 of the family's 1533-position model. The record is from RNAcentral.